RNAcentral lists this ribosomal RNA (1416 nucleotides) under Limosilactobacillus reuteri. RNAcentral's name for it is "bacterial SSU rRNA". It matches the Rfam family "Bacterial small subunit ribosomal RNA", at positions 31 to 1404 of the family's 1533-position model. Lineage: Bacteria; Bacillati; Bacillota; Bacilli; Lactobacillales; Lactobacillaceae. The record is from RNAcentral.
GAACGCCGGCGGUGUGCCUAAUACAUGCAAGUCGUACGCACUGGCCCAACUGAUUGAUGGUGCUUGCACCUGAUUGACGAUGGAUCACCAGUGAGUGGCGGACGGGUGAGUAACACGUAGGUAACCUGCCCCGGAGCGGGGGAUAACAUUUGGAAACAGAUGCUAAUACCGCAUAACAACAAAAGCCACAUGGCUUUUGUUUGAAAGAUGGCUUUGGCUAUCACUCUGGGAUGGACCUGCGGUGCAUUAGCUAGUUGGUAAGGUAACGGCUUACCAAGGCGAUGAUGCAUAGCCGAGUUGAGAGACUGAUCGGCCACAAUGGAACUGAGACACGGUCCAUACUCCUACGGGAGGCAGCAGUAGGGAAUCUUCCACAAUGGGCGCAAGCCUGAUGGAGCAACACCGCGUGAGUGAAGAAGGGUUUCGGCUCGUAAAGCUCUGUUGUUGGAGAAGAACGUGCGUGAGAGUAACUGUUCACGCAGUGACGGUAUCCAACCAGAAAGUCACGGCUAACUACGUGCCAGCAGCCGCGGUAAUACGUAGGUGGCAAGCGUUAUCCGGAUUUAUUGGGCGUAAAGCGAGCGCAGGCGGUUGCUUAGGUCUGAUGUGAAAGCCUUCGGCUUAACCGAAGAAGUGCAUCGGAAACCGGGCGACUUGAGUGCAGAAGAGGACAGUGGAACUCCAUGUGUAGCGGUGGAAUGCGUAGAUAUAUGGAAGAACACCAGUGGCGAAGGCGGCUGUCUGGUCUGCAACUGACGCUGAGGCUCGAAAGCAUGGGUAGCGAACAGGAUUAGAUACCCUGGUAGUCCAUGCCGUAAACGAUGAGUGCUAGGUGUUGGAGGGUUUCCGCCCUUCAGUGCCGGAGCUAACGCAUUAAGCACUCCGCCUGGGGAGUACGACCGCAAGGUUGAAACUCAAAGGAAUUGACGGGGGCCCGCACAAGCGGUGGAGCAUGUGGUUUAAUUCGAAGCUACGCGAAGAACCUUACCAGGUCUUGACAUCUUGCGCUAACCUUAGAGAUAAGGCGUUCCCUUCCGGGACGCAAUGACAGGUGGUGCAUGGUCCUCCUCACCUCGUGUCGUGAGAUGUUGGAUUAAGUCCCGCAACGAGCGCAACCCUUGUUACUAGUUGCCAGCAUUAAGUUGGGCACUCUAGUGAGACUGCCGGUGACAAACCGGAGGAAGGUGGGGACGACGUCAGAUCAUCAUGCCCCUUAUGACCUGGGCUACACACGUGCUACAAUGGACGGUACAACGAGUCGCAAGCUCGCGAGAGUAAGCUAAUCUCUUAAAGCCGUUCUCAGUUCGGACUGUAGGCUGCAACUCGCCUACACGAAGUCGGAAUCGCUAGUAAUCGCGGAUCAGCAUGCCGCGGUGAAUACGUUCCCGGGCCUUGUACACACCGCCCGUCACACCA